GAUGAACGCUGGCGGCGUGCCUAAUACAUGCAAGUCGAGCGAACGGACGAGAAGCUUGCUUCUCUGAUGUUAGCGGCGGACGGGUGAGUAACACGUGGAUAACCUACCUAUAAGACUGGGAUAACUUCGGGAACCCGGAGCUAAUACCGGAUAAUAUUUUGAACCGCAUGGUUCAAAAGUGAAAGACGGUCUUGCUGUCACUUAUAGAUGGAUCCGGGCUGCAUUAGCUAGUUGGUAAGGUAACGGCUUACCAAGGCAACGAUGCAUAGCCGACCUGAGAGGGUGAUCGGCCACACUGGAACUGAGACACGGUCCAGACUCCUACGGGAGGCAGCAGUAGGGAAUCUUCCGCAAUGGGCGAAAGCCUGACGGAGCAACGCCGCGUGAGUGAUGAAGGUCUUCGGAUCGUAAAACUCUGUUAUUAGGGAAGAACAUAUGUGUAAGUAACUGUGCACAUCUUGACGGUACCUAAUCAGAAAGCCACGGCUAACUACGUG
RNAcentral lists this ribosomal RNA (497 nucleotides) under uncultured bacterium. RNAcentral's name for it is "partial 16S ribosomal RNA". It matches the Rfam family "Bacterial small subunit ribosomal RNA", at positions 28 to 507 of the family's 1533-position model. The record is from RNAcentral.